GACGAACGCUGGCGGCGUGCUUAACACAUGCAAGUCGAACGGAAAGGCCCUGCUUUUGUGGGGUUCUCGAGUGGCGAACGGGUGAGUAACACGUGAGUAACCUGCCCUUGACUUUGGGAUAACUUCAGGAAACUGGGGCUAAUACCGGAUAGGACCUCCUGCUGCAUGGUGGGGGUUGGAAAGUUUCGGCGGUUGGGGAUGGACUCGCGGCUUAUCAGCUUGUUGGUGGGGUAGUGGCUUACCAAGGCUUUGACGGGUAGCCGGCCUGAGAGGGUGACCGGCCACAUUGGGACUGAGAUAGGGCCCAGACUGCUACGGGAGGCAGCAGUGGGGAAUAUUGCACAAUGGGCGGAAGCAUGAUGCAGCAACGCCGCGUGCGGGAUGACGGCCUUCGGGUUGUAAACCGCUUUCGCCUGUGACGAAGCGUGAGUGACGGUAAUGGGUAAAGAAGCACCGGCUAACUACGUG
RNAcentral lists this ribosomal RNA (468 nucleotides) under uncultured bacterium. RNAcentral's name for it is "partial 16S ribosomal RNA". It matches the Rfam family "Bacterial small subunit ribosomal RNA", at positions 28 to 507 of the family's 1533-position model. The record is from RNAcentral.